Erpetoichthys calabaricus (reedfish) is the source of this 416-nucleotide non-coding RNA. NCBI's taxonomy places the organism in Eukaryota, Metazoa, Chordata, Cladistia, Polypteriformes, Polypteridae. The record is from the annotation of a RefSeq genome assembly.
UCCCACUCAUAAUGGUCAUGGAGAGUUUAUAUAUUUCCAUGUUUAUGACUAUUUUGUCAUGUGUCCAGUCAGAUAUUAUCUUGACCCAAAAAAGCAGUGAAGUUAAAACUCCUGGAGAGUCUCUGCGACUGACCUGUCAAAGUUCAGGGCAGGACAGUAAUGGAAGAACCAUUGCUGCUUAUGGCUUGAGCUGGGUUCGACAAGAGCCUGGAAAAGGACUUGAAUGGCUGGCUGCUAUUACCCCUGACAGCAGCACUACACACUACACCAGCAGAAUUGAAGGACGAUUUACAAUCUCCAGAGACAAUUCAAAACAGGCUCUGUAUUUGGACAUGAGCAGCCUCAAAACCGAUGACACAGCCAAAUAUUAUUGUGCCGUACGCACAAUGAGGAACUUCUUGCUAUUGCUUAUAUAA